Molecule: ribosomal RNA, 422 nt
Filed under: uncultured bacterium
Lineage: Bacteria
Description: partial 16S ribosomal RNA
Rfam family: Bacterial small subunit ribosomal RNA
Source: RNAcentral
AAUUUUGGACAAUGGGGGAAACCCUGAUCCAGCCAUCCCGCGUGUAUGAUGAAGGCCUUCGGGUUGUAAAGUACUUUUGGCAGAGAAGAAAAGGUACCUCCUAAUACGAGGUACUGCUGCCGGUUGCUACUGAAUAAGCACCGGCUAACUACGUGCCAGCAACCGCGGUAAUACGUAGGGUGCAAGCGUUAAUCGGAAUUACUGGGCGUAAUGCGUGUGUAGGCGGUUCGGAAAGAAAGAUGUAAAAUACCAGGGCUCAACCUUGGAGCUGCAGUUUUAACUGCCGAGCUAGAGUAUGUCAGAGGGGGGUAGAAUUCCACGUGUAGCAGUGAAAUGCGUAGAUAUGUGGAGGAAUACCGAUGGCGAAGGCAGCCCCCUGGGAUAAUACUGACGCUCAGACACGAAAGCGUGGGGAGCAAACA